GUGGGUACAGCUCAGUGGUAGAGCACAUACUUAGCAUGCACAAGGACCUGGGUUCAAUCCCCAGUACCUCCA
Molecule: transfer RNA, 72 nt
Filed under: Camelus ferus (Wild Bactrian camel)
Lineage: Eukaryota; Metazoa; Chordata; Mammalia; Artiodactyla; Camelidae
Rfam family: tRNA
About the family: Transfer RNA (tRNA) molecules are approximately 80 nucleotides in length. Their secondary structure includes four short double-helical elements and three loops (D, anti-codon, and T loops). Further hydrogen bonds mediate the characteristic L-shaped molecular structure. tRNAs have two regions of fundamental functional importance: the anti-codon, which is responsible for specific mRNA codon recognition, and the 3' end, to which the tRNAs corresponding amino acid is attached (by aminoacyl-tRNA synthetases). tRNAs cope with the degeneracy of the genetic code in two manners: having more than one tRNA (with a specific anti-codon) for a particular amino acid; and 'wobble' base-pairing, i.e. permitting non-standard base-pairing at the 3rd anti-codon position.
Source: Rfam by way of RNAcentral